Dioscorea cayenensis subsp. rotundata (Guinea yam) is the source of this 843-nucleotide long non-coding RNA. RefSeq lists it as uncharacterized. NCBI's taxonomy places the organism in Eukaryota, Viridiplantae, Streptophyta, Magnoliopsida, Dioscoreales, Dioscoreaceae. The transcript is spliced from 5 exons. The record is from RefSeq and is a predicted model, not a curated record.
UGGCGCCUCCACCCCCUAGCUCUCAAGCGUGCCGCUGAUCCCGACGGCGAGAUGGGAGAGGAAUUGGAGAACACGUCCAGUGCCAGUGCUACCGCUUCUUCCGCUAACCUUUGCGUGAGCUGAGGAGAUGUCUAUCUCCUUUUCGUUUUCCAUGCAGAAUCAUGGAGGUAAGAGAGAUUUUCAUGGUUCAUGGAGGAAUGAAAGGUUUCUCCAAUAAAGAUGAACAAGAGCACAAGUGAGGGCAUGAGAGGCUGCGAAAGAGGAAAAAAGAAGAAAAAGAGUGAAAAAAACACCAUUUUGAUUCUAUUUUCCUUAAAAUUUUCCAAUUUCUUCAUUUCUUUGCUAAAAUUCUUGGAUAUUUUGAUCCAUUUGUUCAUCUACUCCAUUUGAAGGAAGGAUUUGAGGGUUUGGAGAUGGAGAAAGAGAUGAAGAGUAGCCAAAGACCGCCACGAAUAGAGCCAGAGCUAGAGUUUCCAUUGCAAUGGGGAAGUAGGAAGCAGCUCCCUUGUGUGAGAGUGCAAGAUGAGACCACUCCAGAGAGAUUCAUUGGCCCCAUCGUUGACAAGGAUCUCCCAACAUUCAUAUCAUGAGGCCCACCAUAUACAAGGCCAACUUUAUCAACGGGAAGAAGUGGAAACGAUAGCCGAAGCUCCAAAAAUAGAGGAUAUUGAUGCUACAGCCAUGGGCCCCACUUUUGGAUGAAAUCUCCUCAAUUGUUGACAUGUGUAUAAUUUGUUGCAAGUUUUGAUUUUUUAUAUACAUGUACAGUAAAUAAAAUAAAAAACAAUUACCAUCCAUUGCUUAUAAAACAAUGUCAUUGCAUUGUAACAAAAUGAACUUUUA